Molecule: ribosomal RNA, 491 nt
Filed under: uncultured bacterium
Lineage: Bacteria
Description: partial 16S ribosomal RNA
Rfam family: Bacterial small subunit ribosomal RNA
Source: RNAcentral
GAUGAACGCUAGCGAUAGGCUUAACACAUGCAAGUCGAGGGGUAACGUGUUGGAAGCUUGCUUCCGAUGACGACGACCGGCGGAUGGGUGCGUAACGCGUAUGCAACUUGCCUCACAGUGGAGAAUAACCCGGAGAAAUCCGGACUAAUACUCCAUACACUCUUAAGUACGCCUGUACAUGAGAGGAAAGAUUUAUCGCUGUGAGAUAGGCAUGCGUCCUAUUAGGUAGUUGGUGAGGUAACGGCUCACCAAGCCGACGAUAGGUAGGGGUGCUGAGAGGCAGAUCCCCCACAUUGGGACUGAGACACCGGCCAAACUCCUACGGGAGGCAGCAGUGAGGAAUAUUGAUCAAUGGAGGAAACUCUGAACCAGCCAAGUCGCGUGAAGGAAGAAUGUCCUAAGGAUUGUAAACUUCUUUAGCGAGCGAGUAAGGACUUCCACGUGAUGGGAGUUUGAAAGUAGCUCGAGAAUAAGUAUCGGCUAACUCCGUG